This 23-nucleotide non-coding RNA is filed under the name Cricetulus griseus (Chinese hamster). The record is from RNAcentral. Lineage: Eukaryota; Metazoa; Chordata; Mammalia; Rodentia; Cricetidae.
UCUGCCCUCAAUUGUAAUUCUGG